UGUGUCCACCGAGUUUCAUCAAUUAUGUGCU
This 31-nucleotide non-coding RNA is filed under the name Mus musculus (house mouse). Lineage: Eukaryota; Metazoa; Chordata; Mammalia; Rodentia; Muridae. The record is from RNAcentral.